GAUGAACGCUGGCGGCGUGCCUAAUACAUGCCAGUCGAGCGAACGGACGAGAAGCUUGCUUCUCUGAUGUUAGCGGCGGACGGGUGAGUAACACGUGGAUAACCUACCUAUAAGACUGGGAUAACUUCGGGAAACCGGAGCUAAUACCGGAUAAUAUUUUGAACCGCAUGGUUCAAAAGUGAAAGACGGUCUUGCUGUCACUUAUAGAUGGAUCCGCGCUGCAUUAGCUAGUUGGUAAGGUAACGGCUUACCAAGGCAACGAUGCAUAGCCGACCUGAGAGGGUGAUCGGCGCCACUGGAACUGAGACACGGUCCAGACUCCUACGGGAGGCAGCAGUAGGGAAUCUUCCGCAAUGGGCGAAAGCCUGACGGAGCAACGCCGCGUGGGUGAUGAAGGUCUUCGGAUCGUAAAACUCUGUUAUUAGGGAAGAACAUAUGUGUAAGUAACUGUGCACAUCUUGACGGUACCUGAUCAGAAAGCAACGGCUAACUACGUG
Molecule: ribosomal RNA, 497 nt
Filed under: uncultured bacterium
Lineage: Bacteria
Description: partial 16S ribosomal RNA
Rfam family: Bacterial small subunit ribosomal RNA
Source: RNAcentral